UACGGAGGGUGCGAGCGUUGUCCGGAAUCACUGGGCGUAAAGGGCGCGUAGGUGGCGCAGUCAGUCAACGGUGAAAGUUCGGGGCUCAACCCUGAAUCGGCCGUCGAUACUCCUGGGCUUGAGCACUGUAGAGGCAGAUGGAAUUCCGGGUGUAGCGGUGGAAUGCGUAGAGAUCCGGAAGAACACCGGUGGCGAAGGCGGUCUGCUGGGCAGUAGCUGACACUGAGGCGCGAAAGCGUGGGGAGCAAACAGG
Molecule: ribosomal RNA, 253 nt
Filed under: uncultured bacterium
Lineage: Bacteria
Description: partial 16S ribosomal RNA
Rfam family: Bacterial small subunit ribosomal RNA
Source: RNAcentral